Molecule: ribosomal RNA, 459 nt
Filed under: uncultured bacterium
Lineage: Bacteria
Description: partial 16S ribosomal RNA
Rfam family: Bacterial small subunit ribosomal RNA
Source: RNAcentral
CCUACGGGGGGCUGCAGUGAGGAAUAUUGGUCAAUGGCCGAGAGGCUGAACCAGCCAAGUCGCGUGAGGGAAGACGGCCCUACGGGUUGUAAACCUCUUUUGUCGGGGAGCAAAGCGAACCACGUGUGGUUCAUUGAGAGUACCCGAAGAAAAAGCAUCGGCUAACUCCGUGCCAGCAGCCGCGGUAAUACGGAGGAUGCGAGCGUUAUCCGGAUUUAUUGGGUUUAAAGGGUGCGCAGGCGGAGGUGCAAGUCAGCGGUCAAAUUGCGGGGCUCAACCCCUUCCCGCCAUUGAAACUGGCGCUCUUGAGUGGAAGAGAAGUAUGCGGAAUGCGUGGUGUAGCGGUGAAAUGCAUAGAUAUCACGCAGAACCCCGAUUGCGAAGGCAGCAUGCCGGCUUCCGACUGACGCUGAAGCACGAAAGCGUGGGGAUCGAACAGGAUUAGAUACCCCGGUAGUC